GGUUUCGUGGUGUAGUUGGUUAUCACACAUGCUUAACAAUCAGUUCGAUCGCGAGCGCAUGUGGUCCCCGGUUCGAGCCCGGGCGAAAUCA
Molecule: non-coding RNA, 91 nt
Organism: Papiliotrema laurentii
Lineage: Eukaryota; Fungi; Basidiomycota; Tremellomycetes; Tremellales; Rhynchogastremaceae
Source: the annotation of a GenBank genome assembly